RNAcentral lists this ribosomal RNA (342 nucleotides) under Triticum aestivum (bread wheat). RNAcentral describes it as "partial small subunit ribosomal RNA". The record is from RNAcentral. Lineage: Eukaryota; Viridiplantae; Streptophyta; Magnoliopsida; Poales; Poaceae.
GCUCACUCCCCCCUCCGCGCGCAGUUCACCGUCCCGGAUCUCCGUCCCGGCACGCUCGACUCCCUGCUCGCGCUCAGCGACGACCUCGUCAAGUCCAACAUCUUCAUCGAGGGUGUCUCCCACAAGAUCCGCCGGCAAAUCGAGGACCUGGAGCGCGCUGGAGGGGUCGAGCCCGGCACCCUCACCGUCGACGGCGUCCCCGUCGACAGCUACCUCACCAGGUUCGUGUGGGACGAGGGCAAGUACCCCGUCAACGCCCCGCUCAAGGAGACCGUCGCCACCAUCCAGUCCCAGGUCGCCAAGAUCGAGGAUGACAUGAAGGUAACUAACUCUGCUUCUCUC